RNAcentral lists this ribosomal RNA (474 nucleotides) under uncultured bacterium. Its description in RNAcentral is "partial 16S ribosomal RNA". It matches the Rfam family "Bacterial small subunit ribosomal RNA", at positions 28 to 507 of the family's 1533-position model. The record is from RNAcentral.
GACGAACGCUGGCGGCGUGCUUAACACAUGCAAGUCGAACGGUAAGGCCCUUCGGGGUACACGAGUGGCGAACGGGUGCGUAACACGUGGGUAAUCUGCCCUGCACAUCGGGAUAAGCCUGGGAAACUGGGUCUAAUACCGAAUAGGACCACAGGACACAUGUCCUGUGGUGGAAAGCUUUUGCGGUGUGGGAUGGGCCCGCGGCCUAUCAGCUUGUUGGUGGGGUGAUGGCCUACCAAGGCGACGACGGGUAGCCGGCCUGAGAGGGUGUCCGGCCACACUGGGACUGAGAUACGGCCCAGACUCCUACGGGAGGCAGCAGUGGGGAAUAUUGCACAAUGGGCGAAAGCCUGAUGCAGCGACGCCGCGUGGGGGAUGACGGCCUUCGGGUUGUAAACCUCUUUCACCAUCGACGAAGGUCCGGGUUUUCUCGGGCUGACGGUAGGUGGAGAAGAAGCACCGGCCAACUACGUG